UAUUAAAAAUUUCAUCCAUUUCUACUAUUAAAAACAAGUGUAGUAGACGGACUGACCAAACAGUUACAUAAUGCAUGCCACGCAUAUCUCAUGCUGACAUACAAAGACCAAUUUUUAAUAGUAAAAAUGGAUGAAAUUUUUAACA
This is a non-coding RNA of Gossypium hirsutum (cotton), 145 nucleotides long. The record is from Rfam. Lineage: Eukaryota; Viridiplantae; Streptophyta; Magnoliopsida; Malvales; Malvaceae.